GACGAACGCUGGCGGCGUGCCUAAUACAUGCAAGUCGAACGCUGAAGAGAGGAGCUUGCUCUUCUUGGAUGAGUUGCGAACGGGUGAGUAACGCGUAGGUAACCUGCCUUGUAGCGGGGGAUAACUAUUGGAAACGAUAGCUAAUACCGCAUAACAAUGGAUGACACAUGUCAUUUAUUUGAAAGGGGCAAUUGCUCCACUACAAGAUGGACCUGCGUUGUAUUAGCUAGUAGGUGAGGUAAUGGCUCACCUAGGCGACGAUACAUAGCCGACCUGAGAGGGUGAUCGGCCACACUGGGACUGAGACACGGCCCAGACUCCUACGGGAGGCAGCAGUAGGGAAUCUUCGGCAAUGGGGGCAACCCUGACCGAGCAACGCCGCGUGAGUGAAGAAGGUUUUCGGAUCGUAAAGCUCUGUUGUAAGUCAAGAACGGGUGUGAGAGUGGAAGGUUCACACUGUGACGGUAGCUUACCAGAAAGAGACGGCUAACUACGUG
RNAcentral lists this ribosomal RNA (497 nucleotides) under uncultured bacterium. Its description in RNAcentral is "partial 16S ribosomal RNA". It matches the Rfam family "Bacterial small subunit ribosomal RNA", at positions 28 to 507 of the family's 1533-position model. The record is from RNAcentral.